RNAcentral lists this ribosomal RNA (499 nucleotides) under uncultured bacterium. RNAcentral describes it as "partial 16S ribosomal RNA". It matches the Rfam family "Bacterial small subunit ribosomal RNA", at positions 28 to 507 of the family's 1533-position model. The record is from RNAcentral.
GACGAACGCUGGCGGCGUGCCUAAUACAUGCAAGUCGAGCGGACUUUCAAGAAGCUUGCUUUUUGAAAGUUGGCGGCGGACGGGUGAGUAACACGUGGGCAACCUGCCUGCAAGACGGGGAUAACUCCGGGAAACCGGGGCUAAUACCGGAUAAUAUCUUCCUUCGCAUGAAGGAAGGUUGAAAGGCGGCGCAAGCUGCCGCUUGCAGAUGGGCCCGCGGCGCAUUAGCUAGUUGGUGAGGUAACGGCUCACCAAGGCGACGAUGCGUAGCCGACCUGAGAGGGUGAUCGGCCACACUGGGACUGAGACACGGCCCAGACUCCUACGGGAGGCAGCAGUAGGGAAUCUUCCGCAAUGGACGAAAGUCUGACGGAGCAACGCCGCGUGAGCGAAGAAGGUCUUCGGAUCGUAAAGCUCUGUUGUCAGGGAAGAACAAGUACCGUUCGAACAGGGCGGUACCUUGACGGUACCUGACCAGAAAGCCACGGCUAACUACGUG